RNAcentral lists this ribosomal RNA (423 nucleotides) under uncultured bacterium. Its description in RNAcentral is "partial 16S ribosomal RNA". It matches the Rfam family "Bacterial small subunit ribosomal RNA", at positions 354 to 796 of the family's 1533-position model. The record is from RNAcentral.
GUGAGGAAUUUUCCGCAAUGGGCGAAAGCCUGACGGAGCAAUGCCGCGUGAAGGAUGAAGGCCUAUGGGUUGUAAACUUCUUUUCUCAGAAAAGAAUUAUGACGGUAUCUGAGGAAUAAGCAUCGGCUAACUCUGUGCCAGCAGCCGCGGUAAGACAGAGGAUGCAAGCGUUAUCCGGAAUGAUUGGGCGUAAAGCGUCUGUAGGUUGUUUAAAAAGUAUUCUGUCAAAGAUUAGGGCUUAACCCUAGAUAGGCAGAAUAAACUUUUAAGCUAGAGUUUGGUAGAGGCAGAGGGAAUUCCCGGUGGAGCGGUGAAAUGCGUAGAUAUCGGGAGGAACACCAAAGGCGAAGGCACUCUGCUGGGCCAAUACUAACACUGAGAGACGAAAGCGAGGGGAGCAAAUGGGAUUAGAAACCCCUGUCC